Molecule: small nucleolar RNA, 209 nt
Organism: Sorex fumeus (smoky shrew)
Lineage: Eukaryota; Metazoa; Chordata; Mammalia; Eulipotyphla; Soricidae
Product: small nucleolar RNA U3
Exons: 1
Source: RefSeq, a predicted model, not a curated record
GAGACUAUACUUUGAGGGGUCAUUUCUAUAGUUUGUCGUUAGAUAAAUUUUUCUGAUCAUGUAGAACACCAAGAACUACAAGGAGGAGCCAGAACAUUCUCUCCUGAGUGUGAGGCACAUUCAAGGUGUUGCUUUUGCAAAUGCCUUUUACCACUGAGGAUGGUUCUUCCCUUGGAAGAGUGAGAGGGAGAGGAUGAAGUCUGAGUACU